CAGAGACAGGUGCUGCAUGGCUGUCGUCAGCUCGUGUUGUGAAAUGUUGGGUUAAGUCCCGUAACGAGCGCAACCCUUGUCCUUAUUUGCCAGCACGUAAUGGUGGGAACUCUAAGGAGACUGCCGGUGACAAACCGGAGGAAGGUGGGGACGACGUCAAGUCAUCAUGGCCCUUACGAGUAGGGCUACACACGUGCUACAAUGGCCGGUACAAAGGGCUGCGAGCUCGCGAGAGUCAGCGAAUCCCUUAAAGCCGGUCUCAGUCCGGAUCGGAGUCUGCAACUCGACUCCGUGAAGUCGGAAUCGCUAGUAAUCGUGAAUCAGAAUGUCACGGUGAAUACGUUCCCGGGCCUUGUACACACCGCCCGUCACACCAUGGGAGUGGACUGCACCAGAAGUGGUUAGCCUAACGCAAGAGGGCGAUCACCACGGUGUGGUUCAUGACUGGGGGAAAGUCGUAAC
This 462-nucleotide ribosomal RNA is filed under the name uncultured bacterium. RNAcentral describes it as "bacterial SSU rRNA". It matches the Rfam family "Bacterial small subunit ribosomal RNA", at positions 1029 to 1492 of the family's 1533-position model. The record is from RNAcentral.